Molecule: transfer RNA, 71 nt
Filed under: Ovis aries (sheep)
Lineage: Eukaryota; Metazoa; Chordata; Mammalia; Artiodactyla; Bovidae
Rfam family: tRNA
About the family: Transfer RNA (tRNA) molecules are approximately 80 nucleotides in length. Their secondary structure includes four short double-helical elements and three loops (D, anti-codon, and T loops).
Source: Rfam by way of RNAcentral
CCCUGGCAACUCAGUAGGUAAAGAAUCUGCCUGCAAUGCAGAAAACCUGGGUUUGAUCCCUGGGUCAGGAA